Molecule: unclassified non-coding RNA, 960 nt
Filed under: Hevea brasiliensis (rubber tree)
Lineage: Eukaryota; Viridiplantae; Streptophyta; Magnoliopsida; Malpighiales; Euphorbiaceae
Source: RNAcentral
GGACUGCACAACUUUCCUGCCAAAGGUCAUGAUAAAAAGCAGGAACAUUUAACAUCCGAAAGUUAAAAAGGAACAACAACAACAACAACAACGAAAGGAUAAGUUUUCACAGUUGUGUAAAUCAGAUCACACAGUAAACAAAAAUGGCACACCAAUUGGAGAUAUACGGAAAAGAAGGGAGGAAACAAAUAUUAAAAGACCAAGCUCCCUGGAUAAAAUAGUUGAUGGAGAUAUAGUUUAAGAAUCUGGAACAGUUGCUGCUGGACGCUUCAUUGAAGCAGACUUGAUUAAAUGAUUGUAGCUGCCUUUCUCCUUGAAAAGCUGUGAAAAAUGAGGUUUGCAGUACAAUAUCCCAUCUAGGGCAGCAUAAUUCGAAGGAUUUAAAGAGCACCCACCAUGAGAACACUUGAAACACGACUUGUGAUAACUUUGGUUCUCCACUGUCACCUUCUCAAGUGGAUAAGCCGUUUUACCGCAGGUGGCACAUUUUUCCUGUGUCCCAGAAAACAUGCCGGCAGCUUUGCUUGGAGAUUUUGUCAGCAUUGGAGUUAACUUCUCAGCUGACUUCACAGGGGAUUGAAAGUUCUUAUUGAAGUUGCCAGACUCCUUGUAGAGCUGCUCAAAAUGAGGCUUGCAAUACAGAACACCUUCCAUUGAGGAGUAACUGCUCAACUUGAGAGUUCCUUUACAAUGAGUACACUUGAAACAAGAUUUGUGAUAACUAAUCCCAUCAGCUGACAAAAGCUCAACUGGGUAAACAGUUUUUUCACAAGCCUUACAUUUCUGUUGAGUCCCUGUAAACGACAUGAUUUCAACUCCUAGAUCUGAUCCUCCAACCUCUUUGACUAUUGGAAGAUCAAAAAAAAAUGGUGCUGUUGAUGGAGCGAAGCUUGUGAUGCGGCGAGCGUUAAUGGCGGAUGAAGAGAAUGUUUUUUUCUGGGAGAAUGAGCCAAAGAGAGA